This 1121-nucleotide long non-coding RNA is filed under the name Olea europaea subsp. europaea. The record is from RNAcentral. Lineage: Eukaryota; Viridiplantae; Streptophyta; Magnoliopsida; Lamiales; Oleaceae.
UACCUUUGUAAUGGCUGUCAUCAUUGGCAACUGUUUUCCAUUAAGACGAUGCUUCUCGGCCCACUCGAGCCAGUCUGACAAUAGAGGUAUGAGGUGCAUAGCUCUCUCUGGUUCCAAUUGUAGAUUCUCAAAAUGAUAAAUAAUAGCGUCGGUGCAUGGCUCUGCGCCACCUGUAAAAGCUCUUAAACUUUGUGCGGCCCCCUUUUGUGAGAGGCGAAUAGCUUUUCUCCUUUGUUUGAGCUCCUCGGCGAAUUGUCUUAUCUCGAGUUCACGUUUCGUCGUUGGUACGUAAUGUUCGGGAAUUUGUUGCUGUUGUUGUUGUUGUUGUUGCUGCUGCUGCGACUGUUGCUGUUGUGAAUGGUGUUGGUGAUGCGAAUGCGGCGAUGGAGCAUGACGGUUGUAGUUGUGAGGUGGUGGAGGUUGCGGAGAAUGGUCUUGUGGAGUGUGGAUUUGAGUUUGGUGGUUGCUGAUUUGAUGCUGGAGUUGCUGCUGCAAUUGUUGUUGUUGAGAUUGGUUGUGAUGAGAGAUGAGAAGACUCGGUGAGGGCGACUGCUGAUCUGAGGGCGAGGGCGAUUGGGUUGGCGUGCUGCUGCUCUGUUGGAUGUCCUCCUGUUGGAUUUGCUGAAUAAUACUCGCCGCGACUGAGAUUGAGGCCAGGAGGACCUCCUGUUGCUUUGGGCUCAAUAGGGAGGCAAUUUCACCGAGCGACAGAUUGGCCAGGUGCGAGUCCAGGUCCAUCUUUGGGUGUUGUUUUCGUCGUGGGGGAUGUGAUUCUGGUAGGCGAGUUUGCAAUUCUGCACCACUUCGAGAGCUCGCACACACAGACACACACACACGCUGAGGUAGUUGGUUGUUGUUGCCUCUCGCACCUGUUUCUGUUUGUCAGAGUUUCUUGCCGUUCUGGUUCUGAUUCGGGUGUCUUGUUUGGGGGCCGCCUGGUUGGUGGGUUGCAGCUGAGGUUCUUCAGGUGGUUCUUAAGGAGGAGGUUUGGUUAAAAGAGGUGAGGUAGUUGGGGUUGAGGUAGAGAGCGUGUUGCGGCGGCGUGAGGUGAAUAGACUCUGUUGCGAUGGGGUCUGUCUCGCUUCCACAAUCGUUUGUUGUGUGCGAGUGGUGCGAGUGCG